UAAGGAAUAUCGCUCAAUGGGAGAAAUCCUGAAGCAGCAACGCCGCGUGGAGGAUGAAGGGUCUAUGACUUGUAAACUCCUGUAAAGAAGGAAAAAAUUCCCAUUUGAUGGGAGAUGAUGGUACUUCUGGAGUAAGCCCCGGCUAACUACGUGCCAGCAGCCGCGGUAAUACGUAGGGGGCAAGCGUUGUCCGGAUUUACUGGGUGUAAAGGGUGCUCAGGCGGAUUUGUAAGUCAGAGGUGAAAUCUUACAGCUUAACUGUGAAACUGCCUUUGAUACUGCAAGCCUAGAGUAUGGAAGAGNGUGAUGGAAUAUCUGGUGUAGCAGUGAAAUGCGUAGAUAUCAGAUAGAACACCAAUGGCGAAGGCAGUCACUUGGUCCAUUACUGACGCUAAAGCACGAAAGCGUGGGUAGCAAACA
Molecule: ribosomal RNA, 420 nt
Filed under: uncultured bacterium
Lineage: Bacteria
Description: bacterial SSU rRNA
Rfam family: Bacterial small subunit ribosomal RNA
Source: RNAcentral